AAGGCAGCAAUGUCCAAGUGAAGGAAGCGGUGUAGCAAAGCCAUUGAGCCUACGAACAGAAACCGGAUACAAGGCUAAACGGAGGGUGAGGUUGCCUGACAAACCUAAGCCCAAAAGGCAAACAUAAUACCGAAGCAGUAAAUCCGGAGGUUGUGUGGUGAAAGAACUGUGU
This is a non-coding RNA of Synergistes jonesii, 172 nucleotides long. The record is from Rfam. Lineage: Bacteria; Thermotogati; Synergistota; Synergistia; Synergistales; Synergistaceae.